GCAGGUUGGUACCUCAACAGUGCCCGCAACAUCUGUGAUCAAACUGCAGUUUUCAUUUGCAAAUUGCUGAGAAAGGAUUACAUAUCUGCUGCCAAGGCUGGAGGAAUCUGAAUUACAACAGGGAAGGCAAUUGAUUGGUGUUUGCAGAAGAGGCCGCUUGUCAGAAUGCUUAUGUGAGCACUGCUUGUUCUCCAACAUGCUAAUGACAGCUGUGACACAGCCUUUCCAGGCCGUGAGAAUCCAGCCAAGGGCUUAAACACUGAAACCCAAUGGAAAUUAGGAAGAGCAAGCCCCGUUGUUGGGCCUAACGCAUAGUAUGAAAAGCUCUGCUGCCAAUGCAGGGUGCAAACUAGGAAGGUUUCUGACAUCAGAAGAGUGACGCAAGUGGCAGAUCUAUCUCCACGGCCUGCACAUGACAGACCCUCUGAUGAGAAAGGUGACCCAGAGGAAAAAAGAGCAAGAAAACAAAACUUUAAAGAGGCAACUGCAUAAUAAUGCAAAUGCCUAACACAGCCUACUGUCAGAGUAGGCCUGCCAGUUUUAUGGAGAAAGAGAAGGAUAUGGGAUCUGAGUCAAUAAUCUAAGUCAUGCUGUAUGGAGUCGGAGGUGGCCUCAAUGAACCUUACAAGUCUCUCCCAACUUGGGACUGUCUGUAAUUCUGCUGUUGUCUUUCAGGUUGUUUUAA
Molecule: long non-coding RNA, 685 nt
Organism: Lagopus leucura (white-tailed ptarmigan)
Lineage: Eukaryota; Metazoa; Chordata; Aves; Galliformes; Phasianidae
Exons: 5
Source: RefSeq, a predicted model, not a curated record